UGGGGAAUAUUGGACAAUGGGGGCAACCCUGAUCCAGCAAUGCCGCGUGUGUGAAGAAGGUCUUCGGAUUGUAAAGCACUUUCGACGGGGACGAUGAUGACGGUACCCGUAGAAGAAGCCCCGGCUAACUUCGUGCCAGCAGCCGCGGUAAUACGAAGGGGGCUAGCGUUGCUCGGAAUGACUGGGCGUAAAGGGCGUGUAGGCGGUUUACACAGUCAGAUGUGAAAUCCCCGGGCUUAACCUGGGAGCUGCAUUUGAUACGUGUAGACUAGAGUGUGAGAGAGGGUUGUGGAAUUCCCAGUGUAGAGGUGAAAUUCGUAGAUAUUGGGAAGAACACCGGUGGCGAAGGCGGCAACCUGGCUCAUGACUGACGCUGAGGCGCGAAAAGCGUGGGGAGCAAACAGGAUUAGAUACCCUGGUAGUCCACGCUGUAAACGAUGUGUGCUAGAUGUUGGGUAACUUUGUUAUUCAGUGUCGCAGUUAACGCGUUAAGCACACCGCCUGGGGAGUAC
Molecule: ribosomal RNA, 512 nt
Filed under: uncultured bacterium
Lineage: Bacteria
Description: partial 16S ribosomal RNA
Rfam family: Bacterial small subunit ribosomal RNA
Source: RNAcentral